This 263-nucleotide ribosomal RNA is filed under the name Acinetobacter baumannii. RNAcentral's name for it is "partial 16S ribosomal RNA". It matches the Rfam family "Bacterial small subunit ribosomal RNA", at positions 1 to 267 of the family's 1533-position model. The record is from RNAcentral. Lineage: Bacteria; Pseudomonadati; Pseudomonadota; Gammaproteobacteria; Moraxellales; Moraxellaceae.
AACUGAAGAGUUUGAUCAUGGCUCAGAUUGAACGCUGGCGGCAGGCUUAACACAUGCAAGUCGAGCGGGGGAAGGUAGCUUGCUACUGGACCUAGCGGCGGACGGGUGAGUAAUGCUUAGGAAUCUGCCUAUUAGUGGGGGACAACAUCUCGAAAGGGAUGCUAAUACCGCAUACGUCCUACGGGAGAAAGCAGGGGAUCUUCGGACCUUGCGCUAAUAGAUGAGCCUAAGUCGGAUUAGCUAGUUGGUGGGGUAAAGGACCA